RNAcentral lists this long non-coding RNA (718 nucleotides) under Setaria viridis. Its description in RNAcentral is "long non-coding RNA (SVIR_LNC011141)". The record is from RNAcentral. Lineage: Eukaryota; Viridiplantae; Streptophyta; Magnoliopsida; Poales; Poaceae.
UGGAUUCGGGGUCGUUUGGGAAGGCUUCUCUCAAAAUGACUUCGCCAAUGAAACUAAAGUCAGUGAAACAAAAAAAAUAGUUUUACCUGACUUCUAGUUCAUUUUAGCAUCGGUUUAUAAAAUGGCUUGACUUCUAGUUCAUUUUAGCAUCGGUUUAUAAAAUGGCUUGACUUCUAGUUCAUUUUAGCAUCGGUUUAUAAAACGGCUUCACGCUACAAUGUCUCCAUUUGUGCAAAACAGGUGAAGCUGAAGUCAAAAUAAACACUGCCAAACAGGGUCGAAAUCGUUCCUUAAGGGCAGUCCCAACCCAACACACUAGCCAUAGUUUUCAUAAGCUCCACAUCAUCAAGAAACUAGUACCGGACACUACUCUUCCAAUGCAAAUACCACUAUUUCGUACUUGAAUUUAAUACUAAUUAUCUCUCAUUAUGUCUUGGAUGGUGUGUAGAAACUAGGUCUUAUGCAAAAUCUGGUUUCCUUCUCUUUCUCCAUUUACUCCAUUGCCACAUCAUCUUUUAUCCUAGGUGACAGCUCAUUUCAUUUUAUGGAUACCAUCCUAGUCAUUGAGUUAGGACUGCCCAAACAGCUUUAGCUUAAACGUUGCUUAACAACUUCUGACCCGACUGGUGUUGUGCUCAAUACUCAGAUAAAAACUGCAACCCGAUCCUCAAUUCCUCCAAUCAAACACUUCCUUUUGUUCCGAAUGCUCUUACCUAAC